CACCCACAUGUACUUCCCUGGCUUUUUUUUUUUUUUUUCAUAGCACCUAUGUGUAUCUGGCAUACAAUAUAUUUUUUUACUUACUUGUUUAUUGCCUGUGUCAAGUGUUGAUCUCCUCUAACACACACAGAUACAUGCACACACACACCUGUUGAUUAAAAAAAACUAAACUUACUUUUGCUUAAGGGAAAACAUCAUGACAGAGUCUAAGGAGUGUCUCAAAAUGAGGAAAUGAGGGAAAUGUAAAAUGAGACAUGGGGCUUGGGUUAGAUAACUUUAAGGCAGAUCUUGCAAGGGAAAAAACAGAGUUUAUGAUAUAAUAGUUUUGAAUUAGUGGGCUCAGUGAAAUAAGAAUCUUAAAGUGAGGUUUUUUUAAAUACUUUAAGAGAAGAGAGAGAGAGCACAUGAGCAUGGGGAAGUGGGUGUAGAGGUUGAUGGGUGGGGCAGAGGGAGAGGGAGAAGCAUACUCCCCACUGAGCAGAGAGCUCAAAAGGGCUUGAUCCCUGGAUCAAGAGAUCAUGACCUGAGCUGAAGGCAGACACUUAACCAACUGAGCCAUCCAGGCCCCCCUUAAAGUGAGUCUUGAUGGGCUAGCAGUUUUGAUAAAUAAGCCUUUUAGUCAAUUCACAUUAUAUUUCCCCAACCAGCAGCUAAUAUUUUUCUUCGUGAUUAUUUAACACAGAGACUUGAGAAUUGCAUUAGCUUAAAUUCUCUGUUUCGCUUUUUAUCAUUUGCAGGCAAUUGGGAAGAUCACUUAUCACUUGGGGACAUCAUUAAUCUGGAUCUACCCUAUGUUGGAUGUUGUGGUUGACUGUGUUUUCUGAUGGUAGUCAUUUCAACCUUUAGAGUGUCAACUUUUCUUGUUCUUGGUAGAAGAUCAUUAGGAUGCAUAAUGAUUGCACAGCAGCAGAUCUUUUUAGUGAUAUAAAGGACCCAGAGAAAUCUGCAAAUAUAUAAAUAAAAUCUUUUUUGAAAAAUGCAAAUUUUGAGAACACAAGUUCUUCACAGGCGGCCUUCACUUCAGAUACCAGCCACAGGAUUGGCAUUCUCCAGGGUUGACUCUCAUUUCUGACCAGUUGACCACAAAUUGAGGAAGUCCCACAACCAACUCCAGGUUUGAUAAUCUACUAAUUAUCUGUGACAGAUUCACAGAACUCAUGAAUAGUGCUCAUUAAUAUUUGUGAUUGCAGUUAUAGCAAAAGGCUAUAAAUUAGAACCACCCAAAAGAAGAGGUGCAUUGGGUGAAAUC
This 1249-nucleotide long non-coding RNA is filed under the name Canis lupus familiaris (dog). RNAcentral describes it as "lncRNA (ENSCAFG00000057260.1)". Lineage: Eukaryota; Metazoa; Chordata; Mammalia; Carnivora; Canidae. The record is from RNAcentral.